ACACAUGCAAGUCGAGCGAAGCGGCUGAAUUGAUUCUUCGGAUGAUUUUCAGUUGACUGAGCGGCGGACGGGUGAGUAACGCGUGGGUGACCUGCCCCAUACCGGGGGAUAACAGCUGGAAACGGCUGCUAAUACCGCAUAAGCGCACAGAGCUGCAUGGCUCCGUGUGAAAAACUCCGGUGGUAUGGGAUGGGCCCGCGUCUGAUUAGGCAGUUGGCGGGGUAACGGCCCACCAAACCGACGAUCAGUAGCCGGCCUGAGAGGGCGACCGGCCACAUUGGGACUGAGACACGGCCCAAACUCCUACGGGAGGCAGCAGUGGGGAAUAUUGCACAAUGGGGGAAACCCUGAUGCAGCGACGCCGCGUGAGCGAAGAAGUAUUUCGGUAUGUAAAGCUCUAUCAGCAGGGAAGAUAAUGACGGUACCUGACUAAGAAGCCCCGGCUAACUACGUGCCAGCAGCCGCGGUAAUACGUAGGGGGCAAGCGUUAUCCGGAUUUACUGGGUGUAAAGGGAGCGUAGACGGCAAGGCAAGUCUGAUGUGAAAACCCAGGGCUUAACCCUGGGACUGCAUUGGAAACUGUCUGGCUCGAGUGCCGGAGAGGUAAGCGGAAUUCCUAGUGUAGCGGUGAAAUGCGUAGAUAUUAGGAAGAACACCAGUGGCGAAGGCGGCUUACUGGACGGUAACUGACGUUGAGGCUCGAAAGCGUGGGGAGCAAACAGGAUUAGAUACCCUGGUAGUCCACGCCG
RNAcentral lists this ribosomal RNA (749 nucleotides) under uncultured bacterium. RNAcentral describes it as "bacterial SSU rRNA". It matches the Rfam family "Bacterial small subunit ribosomal RNA", at positions 51 to 802 of the family's 1533-position model. The record is from RNAcentral.